Molecule: transfer RNA, 73 nt
Filed under: Enterococcus gallinarum
Lineage: Bacteria; Bacillati; Bacillota; Bacilli; Lactobacillales; Enterococcaceae
Description: tRNA-Ile
Rfam family: tRNA
About the family: Transfer RNA (tRNA) molecules are approximately 80 nucleotides in length. Their secondary structure includes four short double-helical elements and three loops (D, anti-codon, and T loops). Further hydrogen bonds mediate the characteristic L-shaped molecular structure. tRNAs have two regions of fundamental functional importance: the anti-codon, which is responsible for specific mRNA codon recognition, and the 3' end, to which the tRNAs corresponding amino acid is attached (by aminoacyl-tRNA synthetases). tRNAs cope with the degeneracy of the genetic code in two manners: having more than one tRNA (with a specific anti-codon) for a particular amino acid; and 'wobble' base-pairing, i.e. permitting non-standard base-pairing at the 3rd anti-codon position.
Source: RNAcentral
CGACAGAUAGCUCAACUGGUAGAGCGUACGACUGAUAAUCGUAAGGUCGGUGGUUCAAAUCCACCUCUGUCAA